Molecule: ribosomal RNA, 226 nt
Filed under: uncultured bacterium
Lineage: Bacteria
Description: partial 16S ribosomal RNA
Rfam family: Bacterial small subunit ribosomal RNA
Source: RNAcentral
GCGUUGUCCGGAAUCACUGGGCGUAAAGGGCGCGUAGGCGGCCCGAUAAGUAGGGGGUGAAAUCCUGCGGCUUAACCGCAGGGCUGCCUUCUAAACUGUCGGGCUAGAGCACGGUAGAGGCAGAUGGAAUUCCCGGUGUAGCGGUGGAAUGCGUAGAGAUCGGGAAGAACAUCAGUGGCGAAGGCGGUCUGCUGGGCCGUUGCUGACGCUGAGGCGCGACAGCGUG